This 465-nucleotide ribosomal RNA is filed under the name uncultured bacterium. RNAcentral describes it as "partial 16S ribosomal RNA". It matches the Rfam family "Bacterial small subunit ribosomal RNA", at positions 28 to 507 of the family's 1533-position model. The record is from RNAcentral.
GACGAACGCUGGCGGCGUGCUUAACACAUGCAAGUCGUACGGUAAGGCCCUUUCGGGGGUACACGUGUGGCGAACGGGAGUGUAACACGUGCGUAAGCUGCACACAACUGUGGGAUACCCCUAGGAAACUGGUGCUAAUACUGGACAUGUGCUAAUGCUGCAUGGGGGGGGUUGGAAAGAUCCCGCGGUUGGGGAAGGACUCGCGGCAUAUCAGCUUGUUGGUGGGGUAGUGGUCUACGAAGGCGGCGCCGGGUAGCCGGCCUGAGAGGGUGAGCGGCCACAGUGGGACUGGGACUCGGCCCCGACUCCUACUGGUGGCAGCAGCGGCGAAUGGUGCUCUAGGAGCGCAAGCCUGAUGCAGCAACGCCGCCGGCGGGAUGACGGCCUUCUGGUUGUGAAUCGCUUUCAGCAGGGACGAAGCUUUUUGUGACGGUACCUGCAGAAGAAGCACCGGCUAACUACGUG